UACGGGAGGUAGCAGUGGGGAAUAUUGCACAAUGGGCGCAAGCCUGAUGCAGCCAUGCCGCGUGUAUGAAAAAGGCCUUCGGGUUGUAAAGUACUUUCAGUCGUGAGGAAGGUGUUAAGGUUAAUAACCUUAGCAAUUGACGUUAGCGACAGAAGAAGCACCGGCUAACUCCGUGCCAGCAGCCGUGGUAAUACGGAGGGUGCGAGCGUUAAUCGGAAUUACUGGGCGUAAAGGGCACGCAGGCGGUUAAUUAAGUUGGAUGUGAAAUCCCCGGGCUUAACCUGGGAAUGGCAUUCAAGACUGGUUAGCUAGAGUCUUGUAGAGGGGGUAGAAUUCCAUGUGUAGCGGUGAAAUGCGUAGAGAUGUGGAGGAAUACCGGUGGCGAAGGCGGGCCCCUGGACAAAGACUGACGCUCAUGUGCGAAAGCGUGGGGAGCAAACGAGGGAUUAGAUACC
RNAcentral lists this ribosomal RNA (455 nucleotides) under uncultured bacterium. RNAcentral describes it as "bacterial SSU rRNA". It matches the Rfam family "Bacterial small subunit ribosomal RNA", at positions 340 to 786 of the family's 1533-position model. The record is from RNAcentral.